AUGGGUGAGGAUGGAAAUACAAGCACCUUCAACAUCUCCUGCACCAAGUUCUUCCUGGUGGGUUUCCCUGGACUUCGAGAGUGGUGGCCCCUUCUGGUCCUGCCUCUUGUCUUCCUCUUUGUGACCAUCAUCUCUGCCAAUGCCCUGGUCAUCCACACAGUGGUUGCCCGGCAAAAUCUGCAUCAGCCUACGUGUAUGCUCAUCACUGUGCUCCUGGCUGUCAAUAUUCGUGCUGCCACAGCCGUGAUGCCUAAAAUGCUGGAGGGCUUUGUAUAUUAUGCUAACCCCAUAUCGCUGCAUGGCCGCCUGGCCUAGGUGUUCUUUAUCUACUUCACCCUCCUCCUGGACUACAACUUCCUCUGGCCAUGGCCCUGGACUGCUACGUGGCCAUCUGCCACCCACUCUGCUAUUCUGACCUGAUGACCUCCCAGCUGCUGGGACUGCUGGCCAUUCUUGCCUUGACACAGAGCCUGGGAGUGGCAGUGCCCUUGGUAGUGCUAACUGCAAAAGCCCGAUUCUGCCGGACAGUAGUGAUUCGACACUUCACCUGUGAGUGCAUUGCACUGCUGAGCAUAGCUUGUGGAGACCUGACCUUCAACAACUGGCUGGGGCUGGCUAUGUGGUUGGUCACUGUAACCUCUGAUAUGGCCCUGCUGGGGACCUCCUACAGCCACAUCAUCUAUGCUGCCUUCCGGAUCUCUUCUUGGGGAGCCCAAGCCAAGGCCUUACACAUGUGUGGCUCCCACCUACUGGUCAUCCUCUCCAUCUACGUCUCUGGUCUUUCCACUUCCAUCACCUUCUGAGUAGCCAAGACUGUGUCCCAGAAUGUCCAGAAUCUACUCAGUGCCAUAUACUUGCUGCUUCCAGGAGCCUUGAAUCCUGUCAUUUAUGGGGUGAGGACUAGGGAGAUCCAGCAACAUGUAGAAAAGAUGCUCUGUGAAAAGGAAACAGCCCAGAAGGCUGGGGAGAAGCCAAAGAGGCUGCAGAACAUGAGACUGGAAACCGCCAGGGUGA
RNAcentral lists this small RNA (1014 nucleotides) under Pan troglodytes (chimpanzee). Its description in RNAcentral is "transcribed unitary pseudogene". The record is from RNAcentral. Lineage: Eukaryota; Metazoa; Chordata; Mammalia; Primates; Hominidae.